GACGAACGCUGGCGGCGUGCUUAACACAUGCAAGUCGAACGGAAAGGCCUGCUUUCCCUUGUGGAUUGCGGGUACUCGAGUGGCGAACGGGUGAGUAACACGUGAGUGAUCUGCCCCCAACUUGGGUAUAAGCCUGGGAAACUGGGUCUAAUUCCCGAUAGGACUGCAGGGUGGUGCCUGUGGUGGAAAACGAUUUUCUAGUGGUUGGGGAUGAGCUCGCGGCCUAUCAGCUGGUUGGUGGGGUAAUGGCCUACCAAGGCGGCGACGGGUAGCCGGCCUGAGAGGGUGGACGGCCACAUUGGGACUGCGAUACGGCCCAGACUCCUACGGGAGGCAGCAGUGGGGAAUAUUGAACAAUGGGCGGCAGCGUGAUGCAGCGACGCCGAGUGGGGGAUGACGGCCUUAGGGUUGUAAACUCCUUUCGACCGCGGGGAAGCCACCUGGUUGGAAGGGUGGUGACGGUAGUGGUAGAAGAAGCACCGGCUAACUACGU
Molecule: ribosomal RNA, 493 nt
Filed under: uncultured bacterium
Lineage: Bacteria
Description: partial 16S ribosomal RNA
Rfam family: Bacterial small subunit ribosomal RNA
Source: RNAcentral